RNAcentral lists this long non-coding RNA (383 nucleotides) under Daucus carota (carrot). RNAcentral's name for it is "long non-coding RNA (DCAR_LNC002136)". The record is from RNAcentral. Lineage: Eukaryota; Viridiplantae; Streptophyta; Magnoliopsida; Apiales; Apiaceae.
GGGAUCUCCAAAACAGCCUAGGGGCUUUGAAUGUGGCUAUGUUGUGAUGCGGUAUAUGAAAGACAUUACUGAAGAUGAGGGUCUUUCUUUUGUUGAUAAGGUCAUAAUUUGUUUCUUUUCGUAACUGGGGGUUGUGGCCAGAAAUUACUGAGUGAAGGCCAUAUAUUUUGAAAUGCUUGUGACUGGAAUGUAACUUUCUGUUGUUAUUUGUAGUGGUCAGAGAGGAGUCGUGUAUCUUACGACGAGGAAGAGCUCGAGGAGGUUCGGUGCGAGGUCCUGGAAUUUAUUCAAUCUCAUGUUUAAUAUAUGGUUGGGGUAUACUUUGCUAAUUAGUAAUCAGAUUUGGUUAUCAAGUGUAUAUUCUAGAAUUUGGCUAAAUUAAG